GUGCCAGCCGCCGCGGUACUACCGGCAGCUCGAGUGAUGUCCAAUAUUAUUGGGCCUAAAGCGUCCGUAGCUGGCCGCGCAAGUCCGUCGGGAAAUCCACCUGCCCAACAGGUGGGCGUCCGGCGGAAACUGUGUGGCUUGGAACCGGAAGGCUCAGAGGGUACGUCUGGGGUAGGAGUGAAAUCCCGUAAUCUCGGACGGACCACCGAUGGCGAAAGCACUCUGAGAAGACGGCUUCGACAGUGAGGGACGAAAGCUAGGGUCUCAAACCGGAUUAGAUACCCGUGUAGUCC
Molecule: ribosomal RNA, 293 nt
Filed under: uncultured bacterium
Lineage: Bacteria
Description: partial 16S ribosomal RNA
Rfam family: Archaeal small subunit ribosomal RNA
Source: RNAcentral